This 789-nucleotide long non-coding RNA is filed under the name Prunus persica (peach). Its description in RNAcentral is "long non-coding RNA (PPER_LNC000061)". Lineage: Eukaryota; Viridiplantae; Streptophyta; Magnoliopsida; Rosales; Rosaceae. The record is from RNAcentral.
AUGGGAAGCAAAGGCAGUGUUGACUCUGGCAGCUUUUGCUAUGGAAUAUGGGGAGUUCUGGCUCCUUGCCCAGCUUCAGGAAUCGCACCGACUUGCCAAAUCAAUUUCAAUCCUGAAGAGAGUCCCUUUCCUCCUCAAGCCAUCAAACCUGCAAAAAAGAAGGCAAGCAGUGCUUGAGCUUAACAACUUGAUCAAGACUACAUUGCAAGUUAUCGAGAUCUUCGAUCAGUUCGAUAAGCUUUCUAGUUAUGACCCAAAAGAUGUGCCGGAGUUGGCAUCAGCAAUGGACCAUAUUCCAGUGGAUGUGUAUUGGGCUACUGUGACUGUUGUUGCUUGUGCAACUAAGGUCACUAUUCUUACCAGUGAUGUGUACGUUCUUCAUCCUCAAUAACUUUGAAAAAUACUUAUUUGCAUGUAUGUUUAGUAUACUUUAUAAUAUGACCAUGGUUGCCUUUGUUUCAGGGAGAAGGAACAUGACCUAGCCCCAUAUGCUCAAAAAAUCCACUUCGUCCUGAACAAGCUUAAGAUUCAGCUGAAAAUUUGCAGAACACAGAUUGGUGUGUAAUUACUGGCACAUCUUUCAUUAGGAAUCAUAUUAACUAUAUGUUGUACCUUGCAAUUAAUGAAAUGCUGAAGAAAAUAUUUAUUGUUUAAUCCAGAGGAGGCGGAGACUUACCGGAAGCUCAAGAAAACCUUUCGAACCCCUACUGAAGUAAAGGAGGUUUUCAAGGCCCUGAUCUUUACCAAGGACAAUGUUCAGCCACUGAUUGAUGGUUCCACUAAACAAAC